GACGAACGCUGGCGGCGCGCUUAACACAUGCAAGCCGAACGGAAAGGCCUGCUUUCCCUUGUGGAUUGCGGGUACUCGAGUGGCGAACGGGUGAGUAACACGUGAGUGAUCUGCCCCCAACUUGGGUAUAAGCCUGGGAAACUGGGUCUAAUUCCCGAUAGGGCUGCAGGGUGGUGCCUGUGGUGGAAAACGAUUUUCUAGUGGUUGGGGAUGAGCUCGCGGCCUAUCAGCUUGUUGGUGGGGUAAUGGCCUACCAAGGCGGCGACGGGUAGCCGGCCUGAGAGGGUGGACGGCCACAUUGGGACUGAGAUACGGCCCAGACUCCUACGGGAGGCAGCAGUGGGGAAUAUUGCACAAUGGGCGGAAGCCUGAUGCAGCGACGCCGCGUGGGGGAUGACGGCCUUCGGGUUGUAAACUCCUUUCGACCGCGAGGAAGCCACCUGGUUGGAAGGGUGGUGACGGUAGUGGUAGAAGAAGCACCGGCUAACUACGUG
RNAcentral lists this ribosomal RNA (494 nucleotides) under uncultured bacterium. RNAcentral's name for it is "partial 16S ribosomal RNA". It matches the Rfam family "Bacterial small subunit ribosomal RNA", at positions 28 to 507 of the family's 1533-position model. The record is from RNAcentral.